GGCUAGGUGGUGGAAUGGUAGACACGUCAGACUCAGAAUCUGGUGGGCGCAACGCCCGUGAGGGUUCGACUCCCUUCCUGGCCA
This 84-nucleotide transfer RNA is filed under the name Alkalibacterium sp. 20. It matches the Rfam family "tRNA". Rfam says of the family: Transfer RNA (tRNA) molecules are approximately 80 nucleotides in length. The record is from Rfam by way of RNAcentral. Lineage: Bacteria; Bacillati; Bacillota; Bacilli; Lactobacillales; Carnobacteriaceae.